GGGCUUGUGGUUUAGUGGUAUAAUAUUCCCUUAGCAUUCAUCCAGCUUGGGAAUGGUCCAGGGUUCGAUUCCCUGCAAGUCCA
This is a transfer RNA of 83 nucleotides. It matches the Rfam family "tRNA". From Rfam's summary of the family: Transfer RNA (tRNA) molecules are approximately 80 nucleotides in length. Their secondary structure includes four short double-helical elements and three loops (D, anti-codon, and T loops). The record is from Rfam.